UACGUCGAAGGAAUCAAGUCUUACACUGGUC
This 31-nucleotide non-coding RNA is filed under the name Rattus norvegicus (Norway rat). Lineage: Eukaryota; Metazoa; Chordata; Mammalia; Rodentia; Muridae. The record is from RNAcentral.